GCUUCUGUAGUUUAGUUGGUUAGAACAUUUGUCUCAUAUCGUUACGACGUGAGUCAUCAGAAGAUCGUGAGUUCGAACCUCACUAGAAGCA
This is a non-coding RNA of Lodderomyces orthopsilosis Co 90-125, 91 nucleotides long. NCBI's taxonomy places the organism in Eukaryota, Fungi, Ascomycota, Pichiomycetes, Serinales, Debaryomycetaceae. The record is from the annotation of a RefSeq genome assembly.